GAUGAACGCUGGCGGCGUGCCUAAUACAUGCAAGUCGAGCGAACAGAUCAGGAGCUUGCUCCGCUGACGUUAGCGGCGGUCGGGUGAGUAACAUGUGGAUAACCUACCUAUAAGACUGGGAUAACAUCGGGAAACCGGAGCUAAUACCGGAUGAUAUAUUGAACCGCAUGGUUCACUAGUGAAAGUCGGUUUUGCUGUCACUUAUAGAUGGAUAAGCGCCGGAUUUGCUAGUUGGUAAGGUAGCGGGUUACCAAGGCAACGAUGGGUAGCCGACCUGAGAGGGUGGUCGGCCACACUGUAACUGAGACACGCUCCAGACUCCUGGGGGGGGCAGCAGUAGGGAAUCUUCCGCAAUGGGCGAGAGCCUUACGGAGCAACGCCGCGUGAGUGAUGAAGGUCUUCGGAUCGUAGAACUCUGUUAUUAGGGAAGAACAAAUGUGUAAGUAACUGUGCAGAUCAUGACGGUACCUGAUCAAAAAGCCACGGCUAACUACGUG
Molecule: ribosomal RNA, 497 nt
Filed under: uncultured bacterium
Lineage: Bacteria
Description: partial 16S ribosomal RNA
Rfam family: Bacterial small subunit ribosomal RNA
Source: RNAcentral